CUGUAAUUGGCAGAAUAAUAACCAACGGCUAAGUGUGGAAAGUGUCUGCCUUUCAGCAACGUUUACACUACUGAAUUUACCAGGGUGAUCCCAACAUCACGAAUCCUUUAACAACUUAACAUGAAGCAGCACGUAGCAGUUACCUGCAUGGGUUCUGGAAUUAGACUGCUUAGAUUCAAAUCUCGGUUCUGCCAGUUAUCAUCUAUCUAACCUUAAGUAAAUUACGUAAUUGCUCUGUGACUCCUUUCCGAAAUGACAAAUCACAAAUGUUUUUGUCAAUUCACGUGUCUUCUGCUUUAGUAAACAUAGUAGAAGACAGUAGUCAAUCUCUUUUUUUGUUUUUUUUUGAGACAAAGUCUUUCUCUGUCACCGACGCUGGAGUGCAGUGGCGGGAUCUCGGAUCACUGCAGCCUCCGCCUCCUGUGUUCGAGGGAUUCUCCUGCCUUAGCCUCCCAAGUAGCUCAGACUACAGCCGCCUGCCACCAAGCCCGGCGCUCUCUUGCUGGCGCAUGACAACCGUGCGUUCCACCCUACGACUAAUUUUUUUUUUUUUUUUUUAGACGGAGUCUAGCUCUGGCUGGAGUCAGUGGCGCGAUCUCGGCUCACUGCAACCUCUGCCUCCUGGGUUCAAGCGAUUCUCCUGCCUCAGCCUUACAAGCAGCUGGGACUACAGGCGUGUGCCACCACGCCCGGCUAAUUUUUGUAUUUUUAGUAGAGACGGGGUUUCGUCAUUUUGGCCAGGCUGGUCUCGAACUCCUGACUUCAGGUGAUCCACCGGUCUCGGCCUCCCAAAGUGCUGGGAUUACAGGCGUGAGCCACCGCGCCCGGCCUCCUUUUCCUUUUUUAACUAAUGGAAUAAACGGCAAUGUGCCAAGCAUACAGCAAUGCCCAUUCCCCGGCCUUCAGAAAGCC
Molecule: long non-coding RNA, 912 nt
Filed under: Homo sapiens (human)
Lineage: Eukaryota; Metazoa; Chordata; Mammalia; Primates; Hominidae
Description: HSALNT0389604
Source: RNAcentral